UACGGAGGGUGCAAGCGUUACUCGGAAUUACUGGGCGUAAAGCGCGCGUAGGCGGCUUACUAAGUCUGAUGUGAAAGCCCUGGACUCAAUCCAGGAAGUGCAUUGGAUACUGGUAGGCUAGAGUAUAGGAGAGGUGAGUGGAAUUCCUGGUGUAGAGGUGAAAUUCGUAGAUAUCAGGAGGAACAACAGAGGCGAAGGCGACUCACUGGACUAUAACUGACGCUGAGGUGCGAAAGCGUGGGGAGCAAAC
Molecule: ribosomal RNA, 250 nt
Filed under: uncultured bacterium
Lineage: Bacteria
Description: partial 16S ribosomal RNA
Rfam family: Bacterial small subunit ribosomal RNA
Source: RNAcentral